ACCUUCAUGGUGUAAUGGUCAGCACACUCGGCGCGUAUUCGAGAAGUCCGAGGUUCGAGUCCCGGCGAGGACA
Molecule: non-coding RNA, 73 nt
Organism: Stegodyphus mimosarum
Lineage: Eukaryota; Metazoa; Arthropoda; Arachnida; Araneae; Eresidae
Source: Rfam